Molecule: ribosomal RNA, 544 nt
Filed under: uncultured organism
Description: bacterial SSU rRNA
Rfam family: Bacterial small subunit ribosomal RNA
Source: RNAcentral
UGGCGCACGGGUGAGUAACACGUGAGAAUCUGCCUUAUGGACUGGGAUAGCCCAUGGAAACAUGGGGUAAUACCGGAUAUGCUUUUUAGUGAGAGGUAACGACUGCCAUAAGAUGAGCUUGCGGUCCAUUAGCUAGUUGGUAAGGUAAUGGCUUACCACGGCGACGAUGGAUAGCCGGCCUGAGAGGGUGAUCGGCCACAUUGGGACUGAGACACGGCCCAGACUCCUACGGGAGGCAGCAGCUAAGAAUCUUCCGCCAUGGGAGGAAUCCUGACGGAGCGACGCCGCGUGGGUGAAGAAGGCGGAAACGUUGUAAAUCCCUUUUAUGUGGGAAGAAUAAUGUCUUUUUGACAGAUGACGGUACCACAUGAAUAAGCCUCGGCUAACUACGUGCCAGCAGCCGCGGUAAUACGUAGGAGGCAAGCGUAGUUCGGAAUUAUUGGGCGUAAAGGGCUCGGUAGGCUGUUAUACAAGUGUGGAUUUAAAUCUUGGGGCUAAACCCCAUAGCUGGUCUGCAAACUGUAUAGCUGGAGUUCAGAAGGGG